GAUGAACGCUAGCGAUAGGCUUAACACAUGCAAGUCGAGGGGCAGCAUGGUCUUAGCUUGCUAAGACUGAUGGCGACCGGCGCACGGGUGCGUAACGCGUAUGCAACUUGCCUCACAGAGGGGGAUAACCCGUCGAAAGACGGACUAAUACCGCGUACACUCCAUCUUGGGCAUCCAAGGUAGAGGAAAUGAAAUUCGCUGUGAGAUAGGCAUGCGUCCCAUUAGCUAGUUGGUGAGGUAACGGCUCACCAAGGCGACGAUGGGUAGGGGAACUGAGAGGUUGAACCCCCACACUGGUACUGAGACACGGACCAGACUACUACGGGAGGCAGCAGUGAGGAAUAUUGGUCAAUGGGCGAGAGCCUGAACCAGCCAAGUCGCGUGAAGGAUGACUGUCUUAUGGAUUGUAAACUUCUUUUAUACGGGAAUAACAAGAGUCACGUGACUCCCUGCAUGUACCGUAUGAAUAAGCAUCGGCUAACUCCGUG
This 488-nucleotide ribosomal RNA is filed under the name uncultured bacterium. RNAcentral's name for it is "partial 16S ribosomal RNA". It matches the Rfam family "Bacterial small subunit ribosomal RNA", at positions 28 to 507 of the family's 1533-position model. The record is from RNAcentral.